UUGCUGAUCCUCAGCCACCUCUAUGGGAUUGGGAGCAGCUGAAUUGGCCGUGAGUGAAGCCAUGGCCUGCGGCUCCACCAUGCAGCCUCAUUACAUGAAGUCUAAUGCUUGUCCCAAGUGAAAAGGGACAUGUAUGACAGUGUUUUACCUUCAAAAGUAGCAUAGAUAAUUUUUUCUCAUCAAGAGGUCAUGAAUGUAAUAAAGCCAUAAGUAAAAUAUUUAAUGGCAUGUAAAAUAGAAUUGUUAAUUAAGAAACGUAAACUAGGAGCUGGUUCUACAAAAGUCAAUGAAGAGACCAAAUAGGGGAUUGGUCAUACUAAGUUGUGGACGUCAAUUUGCCACAUUGAUGUAAUCAAUUUCCAGAUGACAGAUUAAUUUAGAGAAUUUUACUUAAUUAAUUCAGCUUUGAGGUAUCACCUUCACCGAAUUUCCAACCCUUUGAAUAUUUGUCUUUGUAGAAUUCAAUAGCUAAGGUUGAAAAUCGGAAAUUAAGGACAAUGCAAAGAUGAACAAGUAAAUAAUUAAAAAGAAUAUCCUGUGCCAAUAUGAAAUAGUUACAAUGGGAAUAGCAAAUAGUACGAAGAAAAAUAUAAGUUCUGCACAUCCAAAAUGAAAAAAAUAGCUAAGAAAUUUAUUCACUUCAUCUCUAGAAUAGAGCAAUGUAAACGAAAGCCCAACCUCCCACCGGCAUAAAAAAAAUAAAAAUCUACAAGAGAAGACUACAAACUGAAAAAUUAAAAUG
Molecule: long non-coding RNA, 742 nt
Filed under: Citrus sinensis (sweet orange)
Lineage: Eukaryota; Viridiplantae; Streptophyta; Magnoliopsida; Sapindales; Rutaceae
Description: long non-coding RNA (CSIN_LNC003609)
Source: RNAcentral